Molecule: ribosomal RNA, 483 nt
Filed under: uncultured bacterium
Lineage: Bacteria
Description: bacterial SSU rRNA
Rfam family: Bacterial small subunit ribosomal RNA
Source: RNAcentral
AGAGUUUGAUCCUGGCUCAGAACGAACGUUGGCGGCAUGGAUUAGGCAUGCAAGUCGGGGGAAUCCCGCAAGGGGGAACCGGCGUAAGGGGCAGUAAGGCAUGGGUACCUACCUUUGGGUUCGGGAUAGCCAUCAGAGAUGGUGGGUAAUACCGGAUGAUGUCGUGAGACCAAAGAUUUAUCGCCCUUAGAGGGGCCCAUGUGAUAUUAGCUAGUUGGUGAGGUAACGGCUCACCAAGGCGAAGAUGUCUAGCGGGUGUGAGAGCACGACCCGCGCCACUCGCACUGAGACACUGGCGAGACACCUACGGGUGGCUGCAGUCGAGGAUCUUCGGCAAUGGGCGCAAGCCUGACCGAGCGAUGCCGCGUGCGCGACGAAGGCCUUCGGGUUGUAAAGCGCUUUAGUGGGGGAGAAAAGCCGAAAGGUGUGAUCUAUCCCAAAAAUAAGCUCGGGCUAAGUUCGUGCCAGCAGCCGCGGUAAUAC